UCUCGUCACGAGUCGAGCUUGGUCAUUGGCGGAGCCAGCUGGAAGGGGUGGGCAGGAAAGCGGUGCUCCGCGGCUUACGGUGGGCGCGCUGAGGGGAAGUGAGGAGACCCGCGUGGGGGCGGUCAGGGCGGGGCUCGACGCGCCGGGACAACGGCCCGGCCUUGUGGUCACCGCCCAGCUUCCCCGGACUCCGCCCCCCACCCCUGUGGGUCCUGGGCCUGGCCAGAGUCCCCGUUCCCCGAGUCACCGGGGGCCUUUGGCUCCGCGAUCCUGAGAGCUUGCACCCUCCCGCCACCCCACCCCUUGCCUGGCCCACUGUGUUCCAGCGCCCCUGAGUGUGAUUCGGACGGUUCCCUGUGAAGCACGGACCCGCCCCCCUCCACACACACGUGGUAUCCAGGGAGAGGUGGGCAGAGCUGCGGCCGUGCCCAGAAACUUGGUGUCGGCCAGGGGUGUCUGUCCAUGCUGCUGGAGGGGGGGACGGCACGAAGUAACAAAGUCUUCCCCAUGUCACUUGACACGUGUGGCCUGCUGGGAAGGAAUCCUGCCCAAGCACGCCUGUUCUCCAGGACAACCUGUGGGUGCCUGCCUGCCUGCCUCUCACCUGGGAGGUCAAGGGUCCCCACGGGCCUGGGAAGCGCCAGGAGGAUGCUGGCUCUCGCGAGAUCUGGGGCUUCCCAUUGAGCAGCCUGCACCCUUCCCCGCCUGAGGAUGUGGGCCACAGCGCACCGCCCCCCCGCCCCCCCCCCCCCCGGCACCCCGGCAGGAUCAGGUGUCAGGGAACACGGGUUCGAGCCCUGGUCCGGGAAGAUCCCACGUGCCGCGCAGCAGCGAAACCCGUGCGCCACAGCUACUGAGCCCGCGAGCCUGAACUACUGAAGCCCGCGUACCUGAGCUCGUGUUCCGCAACGAGAGAAGCCACCGCGGUGAGAAGACCGCACACCGCAACUAGAGAAAGCCCGCGUGCAGCGACGAAGACCCACCACAGCCAAAAAUAAAUAAAAUUUUAAAAACAAAAGUUAAAAAAAAAAAAGCCAGAGGAAAGAAAGAACAUGUGACAGGACCCCAGCGUGGCCCACAGAGCCAGCGGUGCGUGCCCUCUGCCCAGGAGUUUGCAGCCCUGAUGGGAAUCCUGGCUAGUUGCGCUGCCAUGGGCGCGGGGGCCAGAAGCGCUUUCUCAUCACAGCAGCCCAUCCACUGCCAGGGCCAUGCAAGUGCACACCCAGGCCUGGGCCCCAGUGCUCCCCGACCUCCAAGGUCCCCGCCCCCUCUCCUUCUCAGUGGGGUGGGGGCGGGGGCAGCUACCUUGCCUGAGGCUGGGGUGGCCUCUCUUGUGCCCAUAGGUGCAGGCCCUCCUCUCCCAGCUCCCCUCCCCGCCCCGCCAGCCUCCCACCGUGCAGCUGGGAAGUGGGUAGGGGCAGGGAGCAGAGAAGGGUGGGCCCCAUUGUGAGGGUGCAGGCUGGCGAGCCCCUGUCCUCAGUGACCAUGCCAGGUAGCCCCGGGCUGGGCUGUGACGGCUCAGCAGUGGCAGGCGCCAGCCCGGGGUGGCAGGCGAGUGUCCCUUUGGUCCCAAGAAGGAGCUCCCACUGUGGCCAAGGGAGAGGUGCCCGCCGCAUCCUUCUUGCCUGGGAGUCAGACGUGACUCCCUGAUGACACGCUUGGUGGCUCUGAAUUUGUCACGCAGGUUCUGUGGGUGGUGAGUGCCUUUCCUGUUGGCUCUCGCUGCUGGGCAACGCCGGGGCCCUUGGCGACAGCUCUCCGGCCCCGUCCGAGGCCGCCAUGCACUUCUUGAACCCCAGGACCGUGGGUGUCGGGAGAGCCGGGCUCUCUGUCUCCGUCCCAGGAGCAGAGGCUGAGGCCGAGGCCGUGCUUGCUGGGCCCGGCCUUGUGGCUGUGGUGGUGGCUGCCGGGGACACCCUCCGGCCGCGAUGUGGGGCCGCGGGGUCCUGGGGCUCCGGGAGACGCUCGGGCCCGCUGCAGCCCCACACUCCUGGGCCAUCUGACUGUCCCCCUAAGUAGAGCCAUCUUCCAGUCCCUCAGCCCUGGGCAGAAGGCACGACAAGGCGGGCCCGGCUUCCCUGCGGUCUUCCCUCUGAGGCGGCCUGCCCACGGGGGCCCAGGGCACUGCGUGGGCGCUGGUCCUCCCUUGCCCGAGGGAGCUCUUCCUAGAGGCCUGCUCUGUGGAUGGGCAUAAUCAGGGCAGCGGCCAGGCCCUGUCCCCACCCGGCCGCCACCCACCUGCAGUGCUCAUCCUUGGCCCUCACCCUCUCCGCCCGCCCGAGGACCUGGGUGCCUCCCCCCGCUGAGUACCGGCGUCAGUACUUGGACCGUCCUCAGUAGGUGCUCUGACCCCAGGGCAGUCCCCCAGCCCCGCCCAUCGUUUAGCGCUUUCCUCAGUCCUGCUCCCCUGGCUGCGGCCUCGCUGGGCUUGUGGGGACCUUCCAGACACACACACACACACACACACACACACACACACACACACACACACUCCCAUCACUGGCUUCAUCGGGGUUCCUGGGGGGUGUGGAGGUGGCUGCCCUGGAGCACCCUGGCCCUGCGCCCUGGCGUUGGGUGAGGCCGCCCGUGCUGGGGGCCUGCACGGGAAUCCCAAGGGUCUCCAGACUACUGUCUCCCUUGUUGAAGUGCUGGGGCUCCCUCACUGUCGGGUGGGCGGCAGUCCCAUCCUGAGGGGCCGGUGCUCCCCUUUCCUCAGCCCGGUCCCUCCCAUCCUCCUGGGGGAGCGGGCAGCACGGAGGGUCGGGCGGGCGCAGAGGUGUGGCCAGAGCAGGGGUGGAGGCUGGCCAGCCUCCAGGUGGGGUGUGGGUGGUCAGCUCCACCAUCCCCCUGCCCUGCCCUGCCCGCAGCUGGACCUGCAGGAUGGGGGGCUGCUCCCAACUGGGGUGACCAGCCACCCCGUCCCUAGACUUAGUAGGUGAGAUGGGGCCAGCCUGGGGGAAGGCGUGUGGCCGGGACCUCGUCUCUGCUCCUGGCACCUGCUGGUGAGCGGGGCUCGGGCGUGGGCGUGGGGCCUGUUGGAGCUGGGCCACCACCCCUGCUGGCUCUGGGUGGGUGGCCCGGGCUGGACACCCUGCGUGGGAACCUGGCUGAGGCCCAGGCCUUGCACUUCCCCGUCUCCUAGCAGCCGGGGUGUCCUCUGGGGGAUUUGCUCAGUGGGGCCAGGUCCCAAGCCAUUUCUCCCCAGCAGGAUGGGGUCUCGGUGGUCCUUUUCCUGGUGCCAUCUGCCUGUUCCCCACCCACCAGAAGCCCUGGCAGGGAUGGCAGCCCAGUCACGCUCCCUCCUGACCCCUGCCUGGGCGGGCCUCAGGCUCAGGCCUGGUGUGUCCCGUGGCCUCUGUCCUCAGGGCUGUCGUCAGGGUCCCGUUUCCCCCCUCCAGCGUGGCAUCUUUUCCGCCGCUGACGCCUAGCAUGCCUCAUGGCUGCCUGGGUGUGAUGUGGAAUCCGCGGUGGGGACGGAGCCUCCCGGUUAAGCUCAGCCUGGCUCUGGGGCCAUUCUCCCAUGGGGGCCCGUCCAGCAGGCGGGGUUCGGAAAGGUUGGGAGACAGGACUGUCUCCUCCUGGCGGACUGGUAGAGGGAGCAGGCAGGAGGCUCUGGGCGAGUCGGCGGGAGGGGCGUCUGGUGGGCCGAAGGGAGAAGGCGGUGCCUGGGGGGGGACCAUCUCUAUCCCCCCAACUGCGGCUGGACUUCUCUGGGCCUGCCUCUGCCCCUUCUCCACCUGAGCAGCUUCUAGAAGUAGAGUGUCCAGGGACUGGCCGUAGGCCAGCCCAGGGGCAGUAACGCUGGGCACCAUGCCCCUUUCCUGCAGACCAGUGGCUGCCCCUGCUCUGCCUGCCCCCUGCAUGCUGGGGACGAGUGGCUGGAGGCUGGGGGGCCCUGGGUCUGGGUGUUGGGGAGCUGCCACUCGCCCCUGCCUGCUCGUCUUCCUGUCCCUUCCUGAGCUCAUGCUGGGAAGCAACUGUGAUCUGAAUCUGAGCUCAUGGUGGCCCAGAAAGUGCUUCCAGAAGGGGGCAUGGCCAGCAUGUUUUCAGCUGCCCAGUUGGGAGAGGAGGCCUGAAAGCUUGAGUCUUGGCUGGCUCUAAGGCCCUUCCCCGCAUCCGGGGGGUGAAGCUGGCUGCCACCCAGGGGAGGAGCAGGGUGGCUGUGCGGCCGCAGGAGGGACUUCAGAGUUGCGUGCAGAGGGCGGAAAAGCAUGGAGGGCUCGGGGUGGGGCACUGGGCACAGAGGUGAGGGAGGCCCUGAACAGGGCUGCAGAGGAACGGUGACCUGAGCGGCUGGGAUUGCCCUUGCACACCGAUGGCAAGAAGGAGGUAGGGCAGGACAGGCGCAGACACCUGUCACUGGAGUGGGGAUGGGGCAGACUCUGUGGCCAGUGCCUUGAAUGCGUCCACCUGCUGCCACCUGCCCACUGAGGGGCCUGGAGACCCACAGCCUGCCCCCCCGGGGCGGGGGGCCUGGUGACAGUCCCUCCUCAGGGGAUGGUGGCACGUUUAAGCUGUCUGAGGGAUGGCCAGGGCUUGCUGUGAUUUCAGGUCCUGCUUAUCUGGUCCUCCCACCCAGCACUUUACCUCCUGUAGCCUGGCCAUGGCCUGGCCCUUCCCUGGGACAGCAUCCG
Molecule: long non-coding RNA, 4634 nt
Organism: Orcinus orca (killer whale)
Lineage: Eukaryota; Metazoa; Chordata; Mammalia; Artiodactyla; Delphinidae
Exons: 3
Source: RefSeq, a predicted model, not a curated record